Rosa chinensis is the source of this 1522-nucleotide long non-coding RNA. RefSeq lists it as uncharacterized. The record is from RefSeq and is a predicted model, not a curated record. NCBI's taxonomy places the organism in Eukaryota, Viridiplantae, Streptophyta, Magnoliopsida, Rosales, Rosaceae. The transcript has 3 exons.
AACGCUUCGGACGGCAGAUUUCAGACAACAAAAUUCUUAUUUUUUUGUUGUCUAAACUUCUUCAACGUCUUCAGAGUUCAGACAACAUAUAAGUGAUAUUGUCUUAAUAGUAUUAAAAUCCAUACUGGUUCAAUUUUUUCAACUUUCUUGGAACUUAAAAAAUUCAAGAUUGAUGGGUUCGGGUUCGAAAUUGUAAAGGCACAUCAGCUCUGCCGAUCCGGCAAGACCCGUACGAAGUCUUGUGUGUUUCUAGGGAUUCAAGUCAUUCAACUGAUUAGGAAAUUAAAACGGCGAACUGGAAACUCGCUCUCAAUUAGUAUAUGAGGAUAGUAUUACGCUUUGGGAAGCUUAAGGAGUUGCGUUUUCGUAUAGCAUCUUAUCUGACCCAGAGAAGAGGAACCAUUUUUCUAGGAAAACUCGAAGCAAUUUCACUUCCAUCAGUUUUGGGCUACUCUUCCUCUUGUAAUACAUCUCUGUUUCUCACGUUUUCUAUUUUAGUAUUGUUAAGGAUUUUUGAAAUGUUCAAUUUCUUCUGAAAUUCGCAAGUUUUGUAUACUAAUUGCACUUCUGCACUCUCUCAAGUACUACGUAUUCUCCCUCUUUCUGCAUUUUGGGUUUCAUAUUGUUCUUUCUUUUAGCUGAAUCUGGGGUUAAUUUCUUUUUUGUUCUACAUCUGGGUUUCACCUAGAAAUCUGUAAUUGUUAGCUGUACCAACAAAGUUUGUAACUAGAAGCAUCCUUUUUUCUCUUGUUCAGUGAAGUAUGAUCCUACAAAAUAAGAUCACCGUUCAUAUAAUCAUACCUCAUGUUGAGAUACCUCCUUUAAACUGUCAUAUAAUUAGCAAUGGGAAUGUUGCAUUUUUAAUAGCUCAGUAUACUUGAUACCUGAUGUAGAACAAAAACAGUAUUAAUGUAAUAGGGAUAGAGACUACCUUUCUUCACACCUAGAGAGUCAUUCGUAGAUAGAACUUAGAAUAAUUCUGGCUUCAGAUCGGCCUUGGGCAUCACACCAAAGGUGCCUUGGAAUCGCUUCAAGUCAACCCAGGCUUCACAUUUCGCUAGUAACUUAUCAAUGGCAAAGAGAACUCAAAUGACAUCAAACUGAAUAUGCAUUUGGGAAUUACAUUGAUUACAUAGUGCAGGACAACCUCUUAAUUGCAUGGUGGUUAGCAUAUGGAUGGACUUAUUUGUUACAAUCUGAACUUGGCUCCUGGAUUACUUCUCUUAAUCCUGGAAAGGGUUUCUGAAAGAAUAAAUGUAUCUUGUGUUUCUCCUGGAUGCUUAAUUUCCUGUAUUCUUGGAUUUAGGUGGUCGACAAUGUUGUUUCUUCAAGAAACAUUACUGAAUGGUUGCAGAACAAUGCCCUCGAGCAGCUCAUGGAGUUCACAUCUCAUCUCUACAAAUUUCUUGCGCCUGAUGUGACUUUGAUAACAGAUUUUUGCUACUGUAGAGUUUGGCCUUAAAGCCAUUCUUAUGAGUGCCCCUCCAGCUCUCAUCUCUUAUGUGAUGAAGUAGUUGCACUG